Molecule: ribosomal RNA, 253 nt
Filed under: uncultured bacterium
Lineage: Bacteria
Description: partial 16S ribosomal RNA
Rfam family: Bacterial small subunit ribosomal RNA
Source: RNAcentral
GACGUAGGGCGCGAGCGUUGUCCGGAUUUAUUGGGCGUAAAGAGCUCGUAGGCGGCUCAUUGCGUCAACCGUGAAAACCAGCAGCUCAACUGUUGGCUUGCGGUUGAUACGGGUGGGCUGGAGUUCGGUAGGGGAGACUGGAAUUCCUGGUGUAGCGGUGAAAUGCGCAGAUAUCAGGAGGAACACCGGUGGCGAAGGCGGCAUCCUGGACCGAGAUUGACGCUGAGGCGCGAAAGCUAGGGGAGCAAACGGG